AACCUACUACCAAUCAGACUCCACCAACAAGAAACUUACCUAAACCAUGUUUUAGAUGUGGUGAAAAGUAUUUUCCGGGCCAUCAAUGUAAGUCAAAGACAUUGAAUGCUUUGUGUAUGGAUGGGAAAGAUGAAGAAUUGAAUGAGGAGUGGCAUGAUGUGGGGGCUGAUAUAGAAGAAUUGGGAGAGGCUGGUUCCACCUUAUCUGUUCAUGCUUUAGAGGGUAGUCAUGGGGCUGACACUAUAAGAAUGUUAGGGAUUCACAAAAAUAGGCAAUUGGUGAUCCUCAUUGAUAGUGGCAGUACCACUAGUUUUAUGGACAGGAGGAUAGAACAGGAACUGAAAUUAGACUUGCUACAGAUUCCAUUUAAAGCAGUUACUGUUGCUGAUGGAAGAAAAUUGGGUUGUAACCAUCUAUGUCAACAAUUUAAAUGGAAAAUGCAACAUAAUGACUUUACGUUUGACUUCAAAAUAUUGGAGUUAGGUGGAUUUGACAUGAUUUUGGGAGUUGAUUGGUUAAAAGAUCAUAAUCCUGUUCUUUUUGAUUUUGCUACAUCUUGUAUUACAAUUGCAAAGGAUGGCCAACGCAUUCAAUUGCAGGGAAUUGGUGAGGAAAAUUUGCAAUCUGGUUUGUGGCAUUCUGAUAAUUUGUUGAGCAAAGGAGGGGUGGAUUUUCAAACUCCUUUAUUCUGUGUUGUGAAUUCCAGUCUGUCAAUAGAUUCUUUGGCUACUGCAACUGCUGUUUCUGUUCCAAAUGAGAGCCUGCCGGAUUUAAUUCAGAAGUACAAGGGUGUUUUUGCAGAACCUAAGGGGUUGCCUCCAUUUAGGAGUCACAAUCAUGCUAUUCCCUUACAAUCAAAUGCUCAGCCCAUCAAUAUUAGACCCUACAGGUAUCCUUAUUAUCAAAAGGCUGAAAUAGAAAAACUUGUAGCUGAUAUGAUAGAAUCUUCAAUAAUUCAGCCUAGCACUAGCCCAUAUUCCUCUCCAUUUCUUUUGGUGAAGAAAAAAGAUGGCACAUGGAGGUUUUGCAUUGAUUAUAGAAGGUUGAAUGAUCAAACAAUAAAAGAUAAGUUUCCCAUCCCUAUUAUUGAAGAUCUAUUGGAUGAAUUGAAUGGGGCUAAAGUGUUUUCUAAGAUAGAUUUGAGGGCCGGAUAUCACUAAAUUAGGAUGUUGCCCGAGGAUAUUCCUAAGACAGCCUUUAGAACACACCAUGGGCAUUUUGAAUUCAAAGUGAUGCCUUUUGGGCUCACUAAUGCUCCUGCAACAUUUCAAGCCUUAAUGAAUCACAUCUUCCAACCAUUUUUGAGGAAGUUUGUGUUAGUAUUUUUUGAUGACAUUUUGGUGUUUAGCAAGGAUAUGGAGUCUCAUUUGCUGCAUUUGGAGGAAGUUUUCAAAGUACUACAGGCCCAACAAUUAUUUGCAAAGCAGUCUAAAUGUUUUUUUGGGCAAACUGAGAUUGAAUACUUGGGGCAUAUAAUUUCAGGGGCAGGGGUAUCUACCGACCCUAAGAAGGUGGCUGCCAUGGUUGAUUGGCCUGUGCCUUCGUCUGUUAAAGAACUCAGAAGUUUUUUAGGCCUUACUGGAUAUUAUAGGAAAUUUGUAAGGCACUAUGGCAUUAUCUGCAGGCCUCUUACUGAAUUAUUGAAGAAAGAUUCUUUUCAUUGGAAUAAGGUAGCCCAAACAGCAUUUGAUACUUUGAGGAGAUUGAUGUUUGAAGCACCAGUCCUUGCUCUUCCUAAUUUUUCUAAGCCAUUUAUUGUGGAAACUGAUGCAAGCAAUUGGGGAAUGGGUGCAGUUUUAUAGCAGCAAGGGCAUCCAAUUGCCUAUAUUUCUAAGGCAUUUGGUCCUAGGAGUCAGGCUAUGUCAGUAUAUGAAAAAGAAUUAUUGGCUAUUACUUUUGCAGUCAGCAAAUGGAGACAUUAUUUGGAGCAAGGGCAGUUCUUUAUUAAGACUGAUCAUGAAAGCAUUAAGUAUCUUUUGGAGCAAAGGUUACAUAACAAUUUGCAGCAGAAGGGUAUUUCAAAGUUGCUUGGUCUGGAUUACAAAAUUUUGUAUAGAAAGGGCAUUGAAAAUAAGGUGGCAGAUGCUUUAUCCAGAAGGUGUGUUGACGUGGAUUCUUAUUCUUAUGCUAUGUAUUCAGUGGUGGUUCCAGUUUGGAUGCAUAAGUUAAUUGCUAGUUAUGAAAAUGAUGGGAAAGCCUCUGACUUACUCCAGCAGUUAUUUUUGGAUAAGGAUGCAGUUUUUGGGUAUCAAUUGAAGAAUGGUAUUUUGUAUUAUAAAGAUAGAAUGUAUGUGGGGACUACUACCAAUUUGAGGCAGUUGUUGUUGGAAUCUUAUCAUAGUUCAGCAGUGGGAGGCCAUUCAGGUGUUCAUGCUACUUAUUUGAAAUUAAAGAAAAUUUUCUUUUGGCCUGCUAUGCUUAAUGAUGUCAUGCAGUGGGUUCAUACCUGUGAUACUUGUGCUAGAUGUAAGGGAGAGCACUGUGCUUAUCCAGGGUUAUUACAACCUCUACCAAUUCCUACUCAAGCCUGGCAGAAGGUGUCUAUGGAUUUUAUUGAAAGAUUGCCCAAGUCAAAGGGGAAAGACACUAUUUUGGUAGUUGUUUGCAGAUUUACUAAAUUUGGCCAUUUUAUUUCACUAGCACAUCCAUUUUCUGCUGUUUCUGUAGCUAAACUUUUCAUUGAUCACAUUUUUAAGUUGCAUGGAGCUCCUCAAGUUAUUGUUUCUGACAGAGAUAAGGUGUUUACUAGCCUAUUUUGGCAAGAAUUGUUUAGAAGUAUGGGAAUUAAACUUAAUUUUAGUUCUGCCUAUCACCCUCAGUCUGAUGGACAGACUGAAAGAGUUAAUCAGUGUCUGCAGAAUUAUUUGAGGUGCAUGGUUCAUUUGAGGCCUACGAAUUGGAGCUCUUGGUUACCUAUGGCAGAAUGGUGAUACAAUUCCUCUUAUCAAAUUGCUAUUCAGAUUACUCCAUUUGAAGCACUGUAUGGGUAUAGUCCACCUCUGUUUCAUGAAAAUUUUACUCUUGAUUCCUCAGUUGGGGUUGUAGGGAGAUUGUUACAAGAGAGACAGCAUCUUAAUAAUCUCUUAAAGGAAAAUUUACAAGUGGCCCAACAUAGGAUGAAGCAGCAAGCUGACAAGAGGAGAACUGAGAGGGAAUUUGUUGUUGGGGAUUGGGUGUAUUUGAAACUUCAGCCUUAUAUGCAGACUUCAGUAUCUGUCAGACAAACCCUUAAACUUUCUGCUAAGUUUUAUGGGCCAUUCAGAAUUCUUGCUAAGAUUGGGAAAGUUGCUUAUCAAUUAGACUUGCCUCCAACAGCUACUAUUCACCCUGUUUUCCAUGUAUCCAUGCUUAAGAGGAAGGUUGGGGAUGGUGUGGUGGUUGCUACUGAUUUACCUGUUAUGCAAGAUGACCAGAUUAAAGUUGUUCCUGAGCAGGUUUUGCAGACCAGAAUAAUUGAAAGAGGACACCAGAGAGUAGAACAGGGACUUAUUAAAUGGCUUAAUCUGUCAACAGAGGAUGCCACUUGGGAAGAUAGAAGCUUUAUUGAAGGGCAAUUUCCUGAAGUCUCCCUUUCUUGGGGACAAGAAAGUGCUAAAGGAGGGAGUAUUGUUACGUACUAUAGAAAGAAAUAUAAGAGAAUACGAUUAGAUAUUCUAGAAGUUGGGUAAGUAAGGAAUUGGAGGGAAAUGUGGAUGAGUUGUUAGGGAGCCAGCUGUUCUGUAGUUGGCAAGUGAGCUGUUUUGUAGUUGGCAAGUGAGCUGUUCUACAGUUGGCAAGAUGAGACAGCUGAGGCAGUUAUGAGAUAGUUGUUGUAUAAAUAACUCAGCUAUAUCUUUCUUGUAUUCAUUCCAGAAUUUACAAGAAAUACAAUAACUACUCUCUAUUCUCUUUUCUCUCUCUCUCUCUCUUUUCUCUCUACUCUUCUAUUCUUUUCUGUUAGAGUUCUCAAACCCUAACACAAUUUCCCCACUUUACAUUGGGAGACACCUACAUAGGCUUUUGAAGAACUACAAGAGUUGGUGGACUCGUGCGCACAAGGAUGGGCCUAGCCAAGUGUAACGGGUGGACGUGCGUAUAAUUCGCGAGGACUUGAUCCAGUUUCCUUUUUCAUAGCCUUUUAUUUUCAUUUAUAUUUUUCCAAAGAAAUAUCCUUACCUAAAAACAUGUUUUUGACCUAGUUAAAACUAGAUUCCUAUUUUUUCUCUACCUAGCCAAAACUGAACUCCAUUUUUUUGGUACUUAGCUAUUUUAUUAAUGUUACAUAAUGUCUCUUUUAUUUUUCCUCUCUUGAACGUUACUAACAUUCUAUUUUUUGCUUAUAUAGGGACAUGUACAUUGAGCCUAAGACACUACAAAACUCUUUUUCUUCUACCUUUCUACGUCUAGGUAAUCGGAUCUAUCACUGGAGUUAGGUACAUUAUUGAGUACUUUCCUGAAAUAGGAUUUGGGCCACGCCUCAAUGUCGACAUCCAUCAUGGCGCACUCACUGAAGGAUUGCUUACAUUUGCAAUUGUUACCAUCUCUC
Hevea brasiliensis (rubber tree) is the source of this 4525-nucleotide RNA transcript. It is a transcript of the gene named probable aquaporin SIP2-1, with no coding region annotated. The record is from RefSeq and is a predicted model, not a curated record. NCBI's taxonomy places the organism in Eukaryota, Viridiplantae, Streptophyta, Magnoliopsida, Malpighiales, Euphorbiaceae. The transcript has 2 exons.